GAUAAGAGACGACAGACUGAGGAAGUGUCCAGUGAAGGCAUGGAAGUAAAAGGGUGCAGCCUUCCUGAGGAAGCCUUCUUCCAGCAGGGUAGUGUAGGCAUCUCCAGCUGAGGGGAACCAUGUUUAUUUCCUGUAUCAGGUCCCCAAAGAGACUUCAUGAAAGAGAGAAACAAGGUUAUCUAAUAUGUUUUCAGAAUUAUGUGGUGUUGAGAUCUGGGCCAUUGGGCUGAGGUUCAAAGAGCUGAGCAGCACCAGGAGAAACCAGAGGGUCUCUGGCUUCAAGUUUUCAUUCUCUUCACAAGGGUUGCAGCAUGAAAGGAGGACGGGACUUCUGCCUGGGAGAAGCAAAAUUUGGCUAACUGAAAACCUUGAUGCCCUGUUAUUUUUUUCCUUUUCUUUUGCCUGUGACCUCUUCAGACAGUUCCUACCUGGAACAUGUUGUGCUCCCAUUUCAUUCACUUUCUUUCCUUGAAGGUGAGAGGUGCGCCAAGCCUGUUGAAGAAUGCAUGCAUUCCAGAGGUUUAUCUAACAUUUGCAAGCACUUUGACUUUUUUUUUUUUUUUUAAAUUUUCAGAAUGUAUCUACUUUUGCAACGAUUCUAUGAACUGAUGGAAGUGUCUAUAAUUCUCAACCAGCUGUGGAACUCCUUCCAUAGUCUUCUGUUCCUUCUCAUACUGCUGGCCAGCAGGCUACAAACCAAGUGUCUCCUUCCAGUUUGCUCUGUGGUAGCCAAAACCUCUGAGAGAGGAAUGCUGGCUCUGCAACCUCAGGAAUGAAGAGAAAAAAUGAAAUCGCCUCGCUCCCCUUCUGCAGAGCAGUCAUUAACCUUGCUAACAGGGAAGGAGGAGUCUGCACUGGAAGCUUUCUCUGACAAGGCUGCCCAUAUGGUCAACAGAGAGGCUGGUGUUUUUAGAGUCGGCCCAACGAGGAGACCUGACUUCAAAUAUUGGUCAAUGCAUACCUGGGCUUGGCUAGAUGACUUAAGUGAUGCCAGUUGUAUCCUCACCCUGUGUGGAGUAACUACAGAAUGACGGGUCCAGUAUAUACUGUAAUGCUGAUGCAGACUGAAUUCCAGUAAUCACCUGUACCUGAUGGUAAUGUACCUGGAAAAUGCUUUAGACAGCUACUGUCAGAAGCAUUUGGGGUUUUUCCUGACUUGUAGUACUUGUCCUUCAGGGCCCUCAGGUGACAGUGGCAGACGGGGUACAUGAGGAAGUAUGAGGUUUAAGUCCGAUCACAACUGAAGAACCCCUGUGGGUUUCACUGCCAUUACCUCCACCUUGUAUUAAAGAGCAAUUUGUGGCAAAAAUGGUUAGUCUGUAAUACUCUGCUUUUCAUUUUUAAAAUGUAAAUUUUAAAUUUAGCUUGCCUAUUCAUUUCAAGAGCCCUAUGGGCCCAUCCACCCCCUGCUCUCUCUGAUGUUGCUUGUUAUCUGCUACUUUGCUGUGCCCACUGUGGCUCCAAGGAUGGCAGCCUGCUGAACUGCAGAGCCUUGCCACAUGACACGUGCUUUUGGGCAGGAUUUUGUGCUGCCUGGCAGUGACACUGAACUAUUGCAGUAGGGCAAACCUAACAGCAGCAUCCAGAGUUAAUGAAACCUACAUCACCCUGGAACAGGGAUGGGAAUCCCAGAGCUCAGGGGGUUUUCAUGGAGGUGUGCUGCAAACUUGAUGUGUGAGUGACUGGAGGAGAUGAAAGCACAACUGGAUGGGCUAAGGAAUACAUAGGCAUUAGAAUUGUUUUGCAUUAUAUUUAAUUCAGUGCUUGCAAAUUAAGUGUUUGUUGUUUUUUUUUUCCCCAUCUCUUUUCAAGGUUUACUUGUAUUUCUGGGUAAGGAAAGAUGAGUGGUGCGUAUGGUUAGAUGAAUGUCUACUAUGAUUCUGUUAUUGUGUGCUGGACCUUUAAAAAUAAAGUGUUCCCCAGGCUGUAGUCUACAAGGGAUUGCUAUGCAUCAAUGCAAGAUGGCCCUUACAGUGAAUUACGUGCUUGUUUUUCUCUUAUGUAGUUGUUAUUUCUCUCCUUGCUUGUUUGAUUUAAUUUGAAACAAAAGCUAUUCUGGUUGUAGGCAAUCUAGAUUUAGUUGUUCAGGAAAUGGAGCUGAGGAAAUCCUACAAGAACAGCAUGUUGCUUCACCCACCAUCCCAUCAAAGCCAGGUCUGAUCAGGACAUCUCCUUCAUACCGCCCCAACCUGUCUGUUAGGAGGACAGAUUCUGAAAUAGAUGAUAAUCCAGGCUCAUUUUCUUACCCCUUCAAACUCCCUCCCUCCAAACUAAAGUCUGUAUAUUGUAACCAGCACCCUGGUCUACAAAGCUGAACGGAUUCCUAGACGCGAAACUCAUGUCUGGGUUCCUCAUAAUGAGAUAAUACCUAAGAAGCCAGCAGUUUCUUUCAUCCAGAUCUACUGGAUGAAAGUCCUAAAUAUCAAGGAUAUAUCUAGACCAGCUGUGGGUCAGAUGCUUCUACUGCAUAUGUAUUUUUGUCACAGAAGCAGCUCACCUGCGUUAUAGUUUGGGAAUAAGAGACUUAGCAGCCUCUAAGCUGAACGCUGCCUCAUGGAGUGCCUUCCUGGGGGGGCUAUUUUAUUCUCUGUUGUACCUUCCUGUCAAAUGUGAUGGGAAAUCAGUGAUGAAUAGGAGAUCCUUAAUCUCCAUGGAUACUUGUCCCUGCAUGGUGUCAAAAUCUGAGUUGGCUGUUUAUUUUCUCAUAUUUUAUACAUGAUUAAUUUACUUAGGAAGGGGAGGGGAAAAAAGAAGACUAUUUGGGGUUGAAAUAAAAAAUGAGAGAAAGGAAAUUUGAGAGUGGUUCUCAGCUGGAGCUGCUGGGAGGUCUCCAGAAGCCUGUUCCAUACCUGCAUCCCCUGAGCUUGUAGUUAGCUCUCUUGCUUUGUUCUGUGCUCGCAGCAGAGUCUCGGGGGAACACAGAUGCUGCAGCUGCUCAUAGACCAAAAGGUGACCUUUUGAGUAGCCAAAGCAUGGUGCAUUAUUUAGUGCAUUCCUGGCUAAAAUGGAAAUGAAAUUACUUUGUGACCAGAAUUAUUUGUUUGCCCUUUCAAUCGUAUGCAUCUUCUUUGCAACACCCCAUAGUGUAGCAUACACACCACUCCUUGUGGUUUCUUCUGGGGAAGACUUUUGAUAAGACAGGUGCUGUACUUUAAAAUACACUGACUGUUGGCUAGAAAGACCCUCAUAGCCAAAUGUAAUAAACUUCAGUUUCGAGGUACUGUUUGUAAAAAACAGCUUCUAUUUAAAUAAUGUGUAGGAGUGAAUUCUUCCUGGUGAAGUGUCUGUAUCCAGACCAUCAGCUGAUACUGGUAAGUAUAAACAGCUGUUACUUCAACCUGAAGUAUUUUACUUCUUUCAAUUAAUCAAGAGUCUCUCAGAAGGUGCCAUAGCAGGACAUUCAUUACGGAGAGGUUUAAUGAAUAGAGUAUUUGUCAUUCGCAUAGACAGAGGCUUCAGCAACUGCCUCCCAAUGAUCUGUGACAGCACAGUACUUAGGCUCUCUCUGAAUCCAUUGGGCUAAGGAGGAGAGGCAGAUGGGAACCAUUUUUCACAAUGUCUAACUUUAAAUUUGCUACGUGGUCUUCCAGACAGAGAUUCAAAGAACAUGAGGCUGGAGCCUACCUCUCCUGCUGACUGUGAAUGAAGACUGUGGUAUACUCUGCUGCAAGGCCAUCUGCUCUUGAACCUCAUAAAUACCUUUAAAGAGAUCUAAUAGGGGGUUUCAUUUAAAGUUUCCAAUACAAUUUAUGAAUGUUUGAAAGUGGUCUUCAGAUUACCAGAGCUGAGUUGUCAAAGUAACAACUAAUUUGAGAAUGGCCAUUUUUUACUGAGAUGAGCAUGUGGAGGGACCUGGUGGAAGAUCCAGUGUUUACCUGGGAUUUUACUGAGUUCAACCCUGAAAUAUAAGAAGGAGAAGAAAUCUGCACAAAUGAAGAGGUCCCUAGCAGCCCAUGUUAUCUCAAUGGAGAACCCAGUGGUAAAAGUUCUUCAUAAAAUGACAGGUACCUGCUUCUAUGUGAUUAUUUUUACUGGUAAAAGAUUAGUUGGGGGCAGGGCAGGGAGGGGUAAGGCAAGUAAACAGGGAUUCCCUAAAUGGCUGCAAGUAUUGCAGUUGCCUGUUUGGCAUUGUCUUAAUUGUUACAACAAACAGCACAGGAUGACAAAAAAAAAAAAAAAAAAAAAAAAAAAAGACCACCUUUCUACUCAGAAGAUAAACUGCUUUUAAAAAGAAGGCAACUAAACCCAGCUCUGUGAUUUCUAGGAUCCCAAUUAAUUGAGAUGGACAUGACUGGAGAAGCAUUAACACCUGAGCAGCUUUCAAGCCAUUUCUCUAGCACAUUCUUACUGACUCUGAGCCCUUAUUUCCAACCACAGUGUCUGCUCAUCCUAUUGCAGCACCCUUUAAACCAGCCUCCCCUGAAGGAUCCAGCAAGCAGAAGAGAGGAGAGCUGAGCACAAGCUGGGAAUUAUCCAAGUACAAGAACUACAGAGUUGAAGGAGGAAUUCCAGGCAGACAAGGCACUUGGGCCAAGACAGCUGAGCCACAGCCAGUGAGCCCCUUUUUGUAUGAGUUGAACAAGCUAUAAUUUUUUACAAGUCUGAAGAUUAAGAAUUCCAAGGGCCUUUCUGAGGAAACGAUCAUUUAAUACAAAAGAUAGAUCAAUUCCCAUUUUGAUUGUACUGCUCUUUUCCAUAUGAGUUUUCAAUCUAUUAGUGAAAUACUAAAUGCUGCUCCAGCAAUCAGCUAUUGAUAUUUUAAAAGGAAAUCAAAAGCAGUGUAAGGUUGUGGAAGAAAACAGCUUGAAAAGAGAGAAAGAUCAUACUAUUCCUGUGAUAGCUGCAAAAGUUUGUGAAGUUUACAGCUGAGAGAGAGAGAUGGGCCAGAAGGAGAUCAAGGAGUCAAGGAGAAGAUAUCCGCCUGCAGAACUUUGUCUUAGCAUGCCUUCUUAUAGAUUCACAGCCCAAAACUUUGUCGAGGUUGAUCUGCUAUGGGCACUCAACCAGAAAUGGAAUUGCGGGAGGGGAUGGAUGAGCCUCAAAUGGAGAGGGCACCCGUUGACAAUGGUUAUUACCUUGGUCUUCGUAUGGCUUUGAUAGGAUUUACACAGCUUCUGGACAUGAGAAAUACUGUGCAUGCCUAUUAUUCAUAACACAGGGUUUUAAAAUUAGCUGAGCAGCCGUGGACCUUGCUGUAGGUGCAUGCUGGAGUUGCCCUCCUGAUGCAGUGUCUCUCAGCUGAUCUUUUAUCUUUACUCCAACUACAAGCUCACUGUGAGCACAAAGGGAGAAGUAUUUGUAUUCCACUGUGCACAUUUACAGUGAUUUUGUGGACACAGCUCAGCACUAUAGAAAGAAGCAGGUAAGUGGGGCAUUUAGAAGGCAUUAAUUUCUUCUUACUUUCUACUUUUUUGAACGACACUGCAAAAGAUUACAGUGGGAAUAGGCAAGGAAAGAACUUGCAGACUUCACAAAAAUCAAAGUCUACAGCUUGUGCUGGACGGGUAUAUUUGGCACACAUCUGUGAUUAUGAAAUGACUUUUAAAUUGCUUUUGAACUUCAUCUGGAUAAUGAUUCACCCUUUUAAUUUCCUUUCCCCUUCCAGAACAUCCACCAUUAACAAGCCAACCAGUUGUGAUGUUUUACAAUCCACAUUUGAACCUACUUCUCAAAACAUUGCACACUUCCUUAAAUAAGCAAUUACUCAGCUCAUAUGCAGAAAGAUAAGGUCAGUCUUGGCACUGAAAGCCAGAUCAACAACCCACUUUGGAAACCUCCUUUGAAACAAGUCAAGAAGCAGUUGCACUAAAGACUUGUUAAACUGCAACAUCAACAUGCAGCUUAAGUGUUUCUGUACAAACAGAUAUUGUACAGCCUUGAUUUGCUUGAGCUGAGCCCAUUACAGGAUUCAGGCAUAUGCCUAAAGAUGGAAUUACUUACAUGACUGAAGUUAAGAUAUGCUUAAGUGUUUUGUUGUGUAUGGGCCUACACACUGCAUCUGUGUUUGUAUUAAGAGGAAAAGCUGUUCUACAAGACAUUUGGGCAUUUAAAAAUGCAUUUUUGUUCUGAACUGGAACAGGAAGUUUUACUCUGAAAUGAAAUUUAGGAAAUCUUUAAUUCCAGAAAUCUUGUAAUUGAGUAUACUUGAAACAUUGUGUGUCAGUAAUGUUGAAAUGCUUUGUGACAUUAAGAUCGAAACAUAACAUGUCCACAUAUGUUAAUAAAUUAAUUAGAACCAACUGUCAACCAAGCAUGCCGGGAUUGCCUGGGUUGUGUAUUACCCACCCCCUGGAUGCAGGAUGAGCUCCAGUCUGAUCAAGCUUCUUGGCUGAGUUGCAAUGCUCGAUGAACAAUGCUGUUCAACCUAGCACUAAAACAAGGAUAUUAACUUGUGCAUGAGGUAGAGCUCAAUGUACUAAACACUGCUCAACCCAAAUGGCUCUAUGUAGGGACAUCUCAGGAGUCUUAUAGCAGGUCUCUGACGUGAGCACUUCAGAGAUGCAUGACACAGACCCUGUGCUCAUGCUUGUAGGUGACUUGGGUCUUCCUUGGCUGAUUGAUUUUGGCCUGGAGGUACUCAAGAUGACUCCACACUGUUCAGGAGCCACGGUAAUUCGGGCACAACACAAGGAGAUGACCCUCAUCUGCAUCUGAGGCUGUAUGUGACAAGUGAGCCCCUCUGGAGCUGAGGGCUGCAGCUCUGCAGCAGCAAGUCCUGGACACAGGACUGAGCUGCAGCUACUGAAACUCCAGGUGGGUCAUUGCAGGAACCUUAUGGUUCCCUUUCCUGAGCUUCCCAAGCCUCUCCUGCCAUAGACAUUCCAGUACCUGGGGACUGCAGCCUGGCUGCAAAUCUAAAAGCUAAAAUGACCAAAUCAAAGCUAAAAAUUUUUUUGCAACUUCUAUUAACUCUUUUACCAUAAUGAAUUGUCAUUUUCUUGAAAAUGUUUCCGUGUUGUAGAAUCAGUGUUCACCAGAAGGGGACUGAUGCAUUGUAAAAAAAUUCAAGCACCUCUGUGAGCCUGUAGCAAAAAUGAUAAACUAAGUCUUAUCAGACUGAUUGUAUUGUUUGCUCUCUCUGUCUCUAGAUACAAUGGCUGUUCAAAAGGGAGUAGGUAUCUGUCAACAGUCUCUGAAAAGAGAUCAUACAAAUAAUCUGUUUCCUCUGCUGUUCAAGUUACAGUCCCUCUUCUCAGACUCAUUGACUGAUGGACCGGGUAGGGUUGUUCCUUAGGUCAAGAGCUUCUCUUUGUGUUUGUAGAGCUAAGAUGACAAAAUGAUACUGAAGUAGUACCUUCAGAAAAGACCAAACAUACAGCACAUGUGGUGAAAUUUAUUCAGGCAAAUCUUUUAUCUAAAAUGGCUUUUUCUGCUUAAGUCUCUGGGUAGUUAUGGCUUUGCUUUGAUGUCCUGUCCUUUUCUUUUCAGGUUGAAAUAAAAAUCUAAGGUCCACUGCCUUCAUGUCUCUAUCAGCUUCUGGGUCAUCUGGCCACAACAGAGAAGUUGUUUAAUCCCAUUUUUGAGACAUGUUCUUUCAUCAAAACAUACACCAGUACACUUAGCUGGAGCCUGUGUAUAUUGUCUCUUAUGAAAGACCCCUUUGCCCUGGUGUGGCUUCUCUCUUACUCUUUCUGUAAGCAACAGAGGCAAACCGUAGUACCCAAUCAACUGAAUGCUUCGGAUUCUGACGUCAGUAAGAAUAGGAGAGGGAACCUGAAUUGUUUGUUUGUAACAGGCAAUAUGAUUGUUAUCUUAUGCUGCUGCAGUUACUACAUGUACUAUAUUUCCAUCUGAGAAGCAAAAGGCCUUCACAGAUGAGUACAAAAAGAUACAUGUGUUUUUACAAGCCUGAUCUCAUGAGCUUGUAUGUAUUUUAUUGUAAUCUGACGCACUGCAAGAAAUCUAUUUUACAUAAUUGGCAAUGGCAGCCACAUAUUCUGAGAGAAAAAAGUGUAUUGAACUGUAUACUACAUAUCACUGAUAAUGAUUUUCAGCAGUAUCUUCCAUAAAAGUAAAUGAUAAUUUAGCGCUUGAAAGCCAGGCCUUCAAAACAAAAUAAAAUAAUUUUAUUUUUCUGUGCCUAGGCUAGGAUUCAUCUCACCUCACUUUAGACAUCAGCAGUGUAGACACAUAUGGUAGGACCCAUCACCCCAAGCUCCCUUUGCAGUCAAUACAGGGAACAGGCACUUUUAGGCCAUGAUUCAUCUGACCUAUUUACAUGUCUGCUGUAGGAGGGGAUGAAUCACUGCCUAGACUAGAUCUGUGCGGAGGAUAAAGGGAGCCUAAGAUGGCCAGCUCAGAUGUAGAUGGUGAUACAGAUCUACAGUUUGAAUUUAGACUUGCAGUUUGGAACAACAAUUUCAGAGAGGACAUAAAUUUCCUAACCCACACUUUCCUAGCAGAAUGUGUGUAUGAAUACAUAUAUAUAUAUAUAUGUGUUUUUUUCUCCCUGCAACAGAAACAUUUGCAACAAUAUAAUUUGAAUACUGGCCCUAUAUCCCCUUCUCCAAAUGUUCCACUGUCUAAAGAGAUGCCAUUUUAUUUCUCUCUGUCUCUGCCCCUCUUUCACACACACAGACAUGGGUGCAUGUGCCAUGUCUCCAAGCUGGGCCUUCUGAAUUUUCACCAUUAGCUCAAAAGAUACUCCUCUGUGUGUGGUAGCCAGAACUGUUACACGCAGACAGAUAUAUUAGCUGGCAUGGGGUUGUUUUGAAAAAAGCAAAGCAAAAUAUGAAAACAAAACCACCAAAUGAACAUUUCUGAAAUUUGCUUCUGUUUUAAAAAAACAAUUUUUAUUUGUAUUUUCUAAUGGAAUCUGCUCUACUCUGCCUGCAGCCUUUGUGAAGCAGGUCAUCGUAGGAAGAGGAACAUGAGUUUCUGGGAGACAAGUGCUGAUGUUGGAGGCAGGGGGAAGACAAACCUGAUCAUCUAAGAGAGAGUGCAAGUUCCUGAAUGAAGCUCUGAGAGGACAAGAGAGGGGUAAUAUUGUAUUAUUACAUAUAGAUCGGAGUUGAAAGAAUCUGUUUUAUGGGGAGUGAGAAUGAUGUUGUCACAGGUACACUUGUGCAUAUGCUGUAGUAUAAUCUCCCAGUGCAUCUGAAGACCCAUCUAGACUGCA
Long non-coding RNA from Columba livia (rock pigeon), 9118 nucleotides. RefSeq lists it as uncharacterized. The record is from RefSeq and is a predicted model, not a curated record. The transcript is spliced from 6 exons. NCBI's taxonomy places the organism in Eukaryota, Metazoa, Chordata, Aves, Columbiformes, Columbidae.